Long non-coding RNA from Notolabrus celidotus (New Zealand spotty), 1806 nucleotides. RefSeq lists it as uncharacterized. The record is from RefSeq and is a predicted model, not a curated record. NCBI's taxonomy places the organism in Eukaryota, Metazoa, Chordata, Actinopteri, Labriformes, Labridae. The transcript is spliced from 3 exons.
GUUAGAUAAAAGAGCCGACGUACGCUUUUAAGAAUUGUUGAUAUGUGCUUUUGAUAACCACAAAUGUCGUAAGAUGAACAGGAUAUGUGCAGACGUGUGCUUUUUGUAAACCACUAGACUGAGGUAAUGUCUCUGUUGUUUCCAGGGUACGAUGUUCACCUGACAAGACCCUUUGCUCACCCUUGAUUGCAACUCACCCACACCUGUACACCCUGGUACACCCGAUAGCUGGAUUCAAAUGACAAAUGUUCUCACAACUUAUCAGAUGAAUUAACCUCUGCUGGUCCAUUAGUCACUGGAGGAUCUGCAUGCUGAUUGGCUAUCGUGAUGGGAUAGAUUCACUGGAGUUUCAAGCCAUGCAGGAUAUCCAAAACUUCUUCAAGACCUCCUUCAAUAUCUUUCUUUUGACUUCCAUGCAUCAUGACUUCCACACAUCACAGCACUGGUGGUCGUGUAUUAUGCUUUCUAUUCCUGAACCCAAAGCUCAUACUAUGAAAGUGAAACUGAUGGACUCCUGUUAUGGUGAUGUAAGCAUAUUAAAGGUUUUCCCAAAAGCCAGUGCAGACUUGCUGUUUGCAAUCCUUUGAUACUUUUCAUGAAUUCAACAUUUCACGUCUUUGUGGUGAUCUGUGGGAUGUUACAGUCCAGUGGUUGUACUCGACUCUCCUCCAUUGAGUAUUUACCUGAGCUGCAGUUUCAGAUGUGUUGAGCAGCUGGAGUCUCCGUGUCGAGCCGUGUUUCUCUUUCAUACAAGACGGUGAAAGAAGCUCAAUUCUCCCUUCCUCGGGUAGUUUGAAUUUCUCACUUUCUUUUCCUGCUCAUGCUGAGUUUAAAUAAACCCGGACUGAGCCAGCAGCUUGUCUCAUGUGUCCUUCCAUCAAAGACUUUCCAGGAGUUUGAUGGUCAAGUUCAGAACAGCCACUGGCAAACUCAGCCAGUGAAGGGAAAACAAAAGAAUGAGCUGCAGUCUUUUUGUGUUCUUGUCAUGCUUGAAUUGAAGCCUUACAGAGAUCUGUGGUAUUUCACGUGGGCAUCUCUUUCAUCGCAGUCGUCACGGUUGAUUUGUGAGGGUUGUGAUGACCUUGAGGGAGCAGGUUUGGGCCAAUAGAAAGGCCAGAGGGGAGCAGGGAGUCCAGGAAAUCCUCUGGCACAAACACAGGAAGUAUAUCUUUGAAAUAAUAAAAUCAGAGGAUUAUUUGCUGCUCCAGUUUGCCUGAAUAAACCAAGCAUCUCCACAUAUUACUGUUCAUUAUAACCACUACUGUGCAGAGCUUGUGGCCACGUCUGCUAAAGAUACAAUCCUCCAACCAUAUAGAUAAUAACAACAGACCUGUAUUGGAUUGCGUUGGUGUGUGCUGCCUAUAGCUGCAGCCUUAAAGUGCUCAAUAAAUCUUACUGCAUGAAGUAGUACAAAGGAGACAGGACUCUGUUUCUGCAGCUGCAGCACUACAUACAUGUUUUCUACUUUGUGCUGAGCAAGUGAUUUUAAAUCUCUGUAUGUAUGACUGUCUGCAGCCAGGUGUUGAAAGGAAAGGUGGGACAUACGACCUGAGUAGGAGGGGCUUCUUUCAGGCUAUAGGUUUGAGUGAUAAGGACAACCUAUGGCAGAAGAUUUAAGUCAGAACUGCUCAGUUUGUUUCACCACAGCCUACAAUGCAUAACCAGCACAGGCAUGUAGAUGUUAACCUACAUGGAGGACUGAAGGCUGGUGGUGCUAGCUCUGCUAGUGGUAGGCACAAUCAGAAAACCAAUUAGAUAUUGUAAACCCACAGACUCUGUGAUCCUGUGUUGAGCGGUAUUAAUAAA